UACAGAGGGGGCGAGCGUUGUUCGGAAUUACUGGGCGUAAAGGGCGCGUAGGCGGCCCGUUAAGUCGAACGUGAAAUCCCCGGGCUCAACCCGGGAACUGCGUCCGAGACUGGCGGGCUCGAAUUCGGGAGAGGGAUGUGGAAUUCCAGGUGUAGCGGUGAAAUGCGUAGAUAUCUGGAGGAACAUCGGUGGCGAAGGCGGCAUCCUGGACCGAUAUUGACGCUGAGGCGCGAAAGCCAGGGGAGCAAACGGG
Molecule: ribosomal RNA, 253 nt
Filed under: uncultured bacterium
Lineage: Bacteria
Description: partial 16S ribosomal RNA
Rfam family: Bacterial small subunit ribosomal RNA
Source: RNAcentral